CCUACGGGAGGCAGCAGUGAGGAAUAUUGGUCAAUGGACGCAAGUCUGAACCAGCCAUGCCGCGUGCAGGAAGACGGCUCUAUGAGUUGUAAACUGCUUUUGUACAGGAGUAAACGCAGAUACGCGUAUCUUUCUGAAAGUAUCUUACGAAUAAGGAUCGGCUAACUCCGUGCCAGCAGCCGCGGUAAUACGGAGGAUUCAAGCGUUAUCCGGAUUUAUUGGGUUUAAAGGGUGCGUAGGCGGUCGGAUAAGUUAGAUGUGAAAGUCUGAGGCUCAACUUCAGAAUUGCAUUUGAUACUGGUAGGCUAGAGAAUAGUUGAGGUAGGCGGAAUGUAUGGUGUAGCGGUGAAAUGCUUAGAGAUCAUAAAGAACACCGAUUGCGAAGGCAGCUUACUAAGCUACUUCUGACGUUGAUGCACGAAAGCGUGGGGAGCAAACAGGAUUAGAUACCCCUGUAGUC
RNAcentral lists this ribosomal RNA (460 nucleotides) under uncultured bacterium. Its description in RNAcentral is "partial 16S ribosomal RNA". It matches the Rfam family "Bacterial small subunit ribosomal RNA", at positions 338 to 795 of the family's 1533-position model. The record is from RNAcentral.